RNAcentral lists this ribosomal RNA (20 nucleotides) under Lactifluus denigricans. RNAcentral describes it as "partial 28S large subunit ribosomal RNA". The record is from RNAcentral. Lineage: Eukaryota; Fungi; Basidiomycota; Agaricomycetes; Russulales; Russulaceae.
GAAAAAACCCCCCCCCCCCC